GCCAGACUCCUACGGGAGGCAGCAGUGAGGAAUAUUGGUCAAUGGCCGCAGGGCUGAACCAGCCAAGUCGCGUGAGGGAUGACGGUCCUAUGGAUUGUAAACCUCUUUUGUCAGGGAGCAAUUGGGUCCACGCGUGGGCUUAGCGAGAGUACCUGAAGAAAAAGCAUCGGCUAACUCCGUGCCAGCAGCCGCGGUAAUACGGAGGAUGCGAGCGUUAUCCGGAUUUAUUGGGUUUAAAGGGUGCGUAGGCGGAAUAUCAAGUCAGCGGUAAAAAUUCGGGGCUCAACCCCGUCGUGCCGUUGAAACUGAUGUUCUUGAGUGGGCGAGAAGUAUGCGGAAUGCGUGGUGUAGCGGUGAAAUGCAUAGAUAUCACGCAGAACUCCGAUUGCGAAGGCAGCAUACCGGCGCCCAACUGACGCUGAAGCACGAAAGCGUGGGUAUCGAACAGAAUUAGAUACCCCUGUAU
RNAcentral lists this ribosomal RNA (466 nucleotides) under uncultured bacterium. RNAcentral describes it as "bacterial SSU rRNA". It matches the Rfam family "Bacterial small subunit ribosomal RNA", at positions 330 to 793 of the family's 1533-position model. The record is from RNAcentral.